UAGUUUUCUUUGUAAUUUCCAUUUGCAUUUCAACAUUAAGUUACCCAGUCAUUAGCCUCCUAAACCAUUAGCAUUGAUAGCUUCUACAGUAGCCUCUGUGUUCUCAUGACAUACGACUGAUGUUAUAACACCAGAAAGUUUGCCUUCACGAGUCCCAGUUGAAGACAGCAAAGUUUCUGUGGUGUCCAUUGAAGAGGCGGGACUCUACUACUCUAUUGGCACAGUACAAAAUGUACUGUAAAUGUGUGGGACUUGAAAUCAUGAACUGCUGGCAUAUUGUUUUGGCAUUCACAGUCUACAGUUAAACAGGUUUCAUACAGGUAUGGAAACACACCCAUCUGUGGCUUUAUAAACUCCACUUAUCUUUCAGGGUACACCACAUAGUUACAAGUCACCACUACGGAAAUGAUCAAAUCUUAACAAGACUUCAGAGACAUCUCUAUCAUAUGGAAAAAGGGUACACCACAUAGUUACAAGUCACCACUACGGAAAUGAUCAAAUCUUAACAAGACUUCAGAGACAUCUCUAUCAUAUGGAAAAAGGGUACACCACAUAGUUACAAGUCACCACUACGGAAAUGAUCAAAUCUUAACAAAUCUUCAGAGACAUCUGUAUCAUAUGGAAAAAGGACACUAACAACCUGAGAUGGUAAACGGACCAGCCCUGUCCUCUGCUAACGGUGGGGAAAAAUAUGUGGGCAGCACAUUCAGAGAUUCCUUCUCACUGUUGGAUGUUCUUCAUGCAAAUGAGUAUGAAGGGAAGUUUGAUAAAAAACUUGCUGAGGAAACAGAGGAAAACUUUUACAGAGGAGCUCCCCCCAACUGGUUAAACUUUCACUUUAGUGAACAGGCAGCGUCAAAUGGCCCUUUCAUUAAACGAGAUGGAUAUCAAGCGCUCAAGGAAGAAAUUCAGAAAAAAGCAAAGUCCUGAAUAUCAGCUGUUAAACUGUUUCACCAACCAGGAUGUGGAGGAACUACAAUGGCCAUGCAGGUGUUGUGGGACUUGAGGAAAACCUUGAGGUGUGCUGUUUUAAGAGGUUCAGCCCCAGACAUUACAAAUGUUGCAGAGGAGGUUAUUUACCUUUUCACAGCAGGAAAUCAAGGCCACCAGAACACUGUGCUACUGUUACUGGAUGAUGAGCAGAUCUUGGAUGAUCUCCAACACAGCAUUAUGAUGAUGAUAACUGCUCAACAGACGUUAGUCACCUACUGGCCUGUGGUGGUUUUACUCAGCUGUGUGAGAAAAGAUGCAGUUCUAGGGAGCAACCAUGUCGUACUACAGAAGGUACUCUCAGACAAAGAGAAGCAACAAUUCAAUGAGAAAAAGGAAGAACUUAGCAGGAGAUACGGUGAUAGAUGCAAAAUGUUCCAUGGUUUUAACAUAUUGCAAACAAAUUUUUCUCAUGAUUACAUCCAAGAGGCAUGUGAGAUAUUUAUAACAAUCAACAAAAGAAAUAAACCUCUGAAGACUCAGCUUGCUGCCUUCCUAUCCCUGCUGAAUGCCUAUGUCCAGUUCAUAUCUCCUGAGUCUCAGUGCCUAGACUUCCUUAACCAAUGACGACAUCAUGGAUACCGUUCACUGGAACACUAAUGAAGCCUUUUACUCACCUCAUCGUC
Molecule: long non-coding RNA, 1616 nt
Organism: Mugil cephalus (flathead mullet)
Lineage: Eukaryota; Metazoa; Chordata; Actinopteri; Mugiliformes; Mugilidae
Exons: 4
Source: RefSeq, a predicted model, not a curated record